Molecule: transfer RNA, 90 nt
Filed under: Paraburkholderia caffeinilytica
Lineage: Bacteria; Pseudomonadati; Pseudomonadota; Betaproteobacteria; Burkholderiales; Burkholderiaceae
Description: tRNA-Arg
Source: RNAcentral
GUCGAAGGUGGCACGGCGUCGGGCGCGGACGCGAUCGCCGCGUUGGAGGCAGCGGGGCUGUCGGUGCCGAGUUCGGUCCCGGCUUCGGCA